UGCCUACGGGACGCAGCAGUGAGGAAUAUUGGUCAAUGGGAGAGAUCCUGAACCAGCCAAGCCGCGUGAGGGAAGACGGCCCUAUGGGUUGUAAACCUCUUUUGUCGGAGAACAAAACCCGGGACGUGUCCCGGACUGCGUGUAUCCGAAGAAAAAGCAUCGGCUAACUCCGUGCCAGCAGCCGCGGUAAUACGGAGGAUGCGAGCGUUAUCCGGAUUUAUUGGGUUUAAAGGGUGCGUAGGCGGACGCUUAAGGCAGCGGUAAAAUUGCGGGGCUCAACCUCGUCGAGCCGUUGAAACUGGGUG
RNAcentral lists this ribosomal RNA (305 nucleotides) under uncultured bacterium. RNAcentral's name for it is "bacterial SSU rRNA". It matches the Rfam family "Bacterial small subunit ribosomal RNA", at positions 335 to 639 of the family's 1533-position model. The record is from RNAcentral.